GUGGGGAAUUUUGGACAAUGGGCGCAAGCCUGAUCCAGCAAUGCCGCGUGCAGGAAGAAGGCCUUCGGGUUGUAAACUGCUUUUGUACGGAACGAAACGGUCCUGGUUAAUACCCGGGGCUAAUGACGGUACCGUAAGAAUAAGCACCGGCUAACUACGUGCCAGCAGCCGCGGUAAUACGUAGGGUGCAAGCGUUAAUCGGAAUUACUGGGCGUAAAGCGUGCGCAGGCGGUGCUGUAAGACAGGCGUGAAAUCCCCGGGCUUAACCUGGGAAUUGCGCUUGUGACUGCAGUGCUGGAGUGCGGCAGAGGGGGAUGGAAUUCCGCGUGUAGCAGUGAAAUGCGUAGAUAUGCGGAGGAACACCGAUGGCGAAGGCAAUCCCCUGGGCCUGUACUGACGCUCAUGCACGAAAGCGUGGGGAGCAAACAGGAUUAGAUACCCGGGUAGUCC
This 450-nucleotide ribosomal RNA is filed under the name uncultured bacterium. RNAcentral describes it as "partial 16S ribosomal RNA". It matches the Rfam family "Bacterial small subunit ribosomal RNA", at positions 354 to 796 of the family's 1533-position model. The record is from RNAcentral.